AGGAUGAACGCUGGCGGCGUGCCUAACACAUGCAAGUCGAACGUCCUGUCUCGCAAGAGGCAGGGAGUGGCGGACGGGUGAGUACCACGUGGGUCAUCUACCGUGAGGUGAGGAAUACCGGCGAGAAAUCGCCGACAAGACCGCAUAGGCUCGAUGCAAGUCGAGCAAAGCUCUUUCGAGAGAGGGAGCGCCACACGAGGAGCCUGCGCCCGAUUAGCUAGCUGGUGGAGUAAUGGUUCACCAGGGCGACGAUCGGUAGCUGGUCUGAGAGGACGAUCAGCCACACUGGGAUUGAGAACGGCCCAGACUCCUACGGGGGGCAGCAGUGAGGAAUUUUCGUCAAUGGGGGCAACCCUGAACGAGCAACGCCGCGUGCAGGAAGAAGGUUUUCGGAUCGUAAACUGCUUUUCUCGGGGAAGAGAACGGACGGUACCCGAGGAAUCGAGCCCCGGCUAACUACGCGCCAGCAGCCGCGU
This 476-nucleotide ribosomal RNA is filed under the name uncultured bacterium. Its description in RNAcentral is "SSU rRNA". It matches the Rfam family "Bacterial small subunit ribosomal RNA", at positions 26 to 520 of the family's 1533-position model. The record is from RNAcentral.